Molecule: long non-coding RNA, 1248 nt
Organism: Haplochromis burtoni (Burton's mouthbrooder)
Lineage: Eukaryota; Metazoa; Chordata; Actinopteri; Cichliformes; Cichlidae
Exons: 3
Source: RefSeq, a predicted model, not a curated record
CCGUGCAUUUGCACGGUAUGCCCGAUGGCCAGUCCAGCUAUGAACAAACAGCAAUAACAGUGUAGUUGUGUUUGUGUGAACAAUAAAGAUUUGAAGAUGAAGAGUUUGAUUCUACUUUCAUUGUGUGAUCAACAACAACCCGUGUGAGUGAAGCACAAACUGACUGUAUCCAAACUUGCUCUCCUGCAGCAGACGGGCUGUGUGGGUUUCUGCUCUGCAGCCUCCACACCGUUAGCUGUGGCUUUCACUUUAAUAACACAACGACAGUUACAAGCAUGAACUCUGCUUCAAGAAUGAUUCCAGGAAGGAUCUGUGUUCUUCACCUGUGAGAGAAACAGCUCAAAUCCUCAACUCACAGCUGACAAAUGAACUUUAAUGGACUCAAAGGAGAGACCAUUGUGACAGGUGAGACCUGGAGACUUGGGACCGCCCCUGGUGGGCGGAGCUGGUCUUCGCUCCUUUCAUAAGCGCAGGUGUGGGCAAUUGGGUAUUCAUUUGCAAACCUGAAGCUGCGAGCGCUUGGUCCGAGUUGGGCACGUUGGUGUUUCUUAACUAUGAAAGUCUGAUACGCGUCCUCCCCUAAACUUCUGUUAGAACGGUGGGAAACAUUGCUCCCGUAAGAACGGUAUAGUGGACUUCAUCGCCACUCACCCACAUUUAUUAGGGUGUGACACGAACUUGUGGACAGAGUACCGAGCUGCUGCUUUGCCAGGUGGAUUUCUGGCUGCGGGCAAAGGACCCGACACAUCAGUGUGUUUUAAUUUGUUUUAAACUGGUGUAAGUCGACAGACUGACUGCUGCGGCUGUCGAUGGUUUUGUUUUUUUGUUUUACUUUUUUCUGUAUCAGUAGGCACCACAGAUAUUGAUUCGCAGGCGGUGAAGGCGCUGCAGGGAAAACAAAUCCUUUUUUUGUCUCCCCGCUCUUGCAUGCACAGCGGGGGGCCCGAGUGAAGACGGCACCGAAGAUUUGCCUUUUUUUUUCUAUAGUGUUUUACCCAUUUGGGAUCAUGUGUGAGUUGCCGUCCAUUUUUAACCUGUGUGCUAUGUUGAUUUGUUUUUAACCUGUUCCCCGCAGCGCUUGUCCUGUCUCACGGGCAAUCGUACAGUUUUAUCAUUUUUAAUAAGGUAACGUUUUUAAUUGUUUUUAGGUGCUGCUGUUACACUGUUUCUUUUAUUUUGUAUUAAAAAUUAAACUCUUUUAAACUGACUGUGCGCCUACGGCUCUGUCCUAUUUUAAAUAGGUACUUA